RNAcentral lists this small nucleolar RNA (257 nucleotides) under Carassius auratus (goldfish). The record is from RNAcentral. Lineage: Eukaryota; Metazoa; Chordata; Actinopteri; Cypriniformes; Cyprinidae.
ACAGCGCAGUCUCGAAGCAGUGGCUGGAGACUCAAUGAGGCUGCACAGAUAAAACCGAAGGAGCAAAAGUCGUGACUUCUCUAGACCUUGAAGUAUUACGUGCGAUAUUCUUUCAACAAGUCAUGACCUGUUUCCACGGAGGUGAUGGUUUGUUAUGUACCGUUACCAAUCUCAAAACAGGCAGAGUAAAGCAGUGGCAGUCAGAUGUUGUCUGGCAGGAGAAGUGCUCCUUUCAGAUACUUUGAAUUGCCAUAAUU